This 468-nucleotide ribosomal RNA is filed under the name uncultured bacterium. RNAcentral describes it as "partial 16S ribosomal RNA". It matches the Rfam family "Bacterial small subunit ribosomal RNA", at positions 28 to 507 of the family's 1533-position model. The record is from RNAcentral.
GACGAACGCUGGCGGCGUGCUUAACACAUGCAAGUCGAACGGGAAGGCCCUGCUUUUGUGGGGUGCUCGAGUGGCGAACGGGUGAGUAACACGUGAGUAACCUGCCCUUGACUUUGGGAUAACUUCAGGAAACUGGGGCUAAUACCGGAUAGGAGCUCCUGCUGCAUGGUGGGGGUGGGAAAGUUUCGGCGGUUGGGGAUGGACUCGCGGCUUAUCAGCUUGUUGGUGGGGUAGUGGCUUACCAAGGCUUUGACGGGUAGCCGGCCUGAGAGGGUGACCGGCCACAUUGGGACUGAGAUGCGGCCCAGACUCCUACGGGAGGCAGCAGUGGGGAAUAUUGCACAAUGGGCGGAAGCCUGAUGCAGCCACGCCGCGUGCGGGAUGACGGCAUUCGGGUUGUAAACCGCUUUCGCCUGUGACGAAGCGUGAGUGACGGUAAUGGGUAAAGAAGCACCGGCUAACUACGUG